CAUUAAGCAGCUUGGCCUUUGAACAUGGAGAUGGCAACCUGGUCCCAAUGCAAGGUUGCUGCCCAUGUCCCUCCUCUCAGCAGAUGAGAUGGGUCUCCGGGAAAGCCACUGGAUGCCGGCAGGGACCUCGCGGCUCAGUGACCAUGGUGGUUUAUUGAGCACCUGUUUUCUGCCUCACAAGUGCCUCAGGAUAAUGGGGAUGGACGAGAAGCCACGGUUCCUGCCUUCAGGGACCCUGCAGAUCAGCCUGGCAGGUGAGGCUGGGUUUGAAAGAGUUGGCAACUGGCUCAAAGGUUAGCGUGGCUGGGGGAGGAGUGGGGCAGUGCAGGACAGCCCUGGACGCUCUCUGCUGCCCGUCUUCUCCCAUCUCCUGGGCAGCCAUCGAUGCCCUUGGCCUGCCCAAGUCUUCCUCUGCUCUCUGAAGGCCCACUCAGCCCUCAGUGCACACCCGUUGGUGACAGCUUCACCAUCUUGUGUCCCCAGGACCUGGCACAUGCCUAACAGAAGCUCAAGAAAGGUCUGUGGAAGGAAUAAAUGAGAAGAGUCAGGACUGGCAGGUUGCGGAGUAGAAGAUGGAAGUGAAGGGACCGGUCCCAUGUCUCUAAAGCUGUUAGGAGGCUGGAGACCAUCGUGGCUCUCAACAUCUAUUUUCUGAAAAAUCAAACGAAGCACAGGAAGCUCAAGAGCAGCCGUGAUUCGUUUCCACCCUGCCCUUCUUCUACGCGUGGGGGAUUUCUCUUUCAAGUUGUCACCUUCCUGCUCCAAAACUGGGCAGAGAGCAGGUCCUUGGGAAUGGUGUUGGACCAGGAUGCGCGUUCUUGAGACUAUUGCUGGGCAGGGAGGACACGGUGCUUUUUCUGCUGCAUUGAAGGAACAGGCUGGGCUUUCCCCGGCCUUUGUGUCUGCCGUGGACUCUGACAGGCCAUCUUGCACUUGGCAGUCUCUGGGAGGCUCGUCACCCAGCGGGGCCUGUUUGGGACCAGCAAUGGAACAGGGCCAAGGGGCAUUGCAUGAGGGGGACCAUUUUUCUCUUCUGCACAUAGAAUAUGGUCUUGUCCCCUCUCACGAUGCCCAGGACUGGCACAAUGCAGGGAGACCCCAGUGGCUUGAAAUCUCUGUUGGCUUGUCACUUCAUGACAAUAGAAGGGAUUUAUGAGCUGGCAAAACAAAAAUUGCCAUUGCUUAAAAUAACAUUUGACACACUUCACAUUGAGAGCACAGCGCCAUUGCUCCCAUGGUGACAACAUCCGUGGGGGGUGCCAGGUGUGCCGGUGGGGGCGCUGGCUGCCUGAGCCUGGGUCCCCCUCUCUGGCCAGCUGUUGUUCCUUGCUCUCUUGGUCCUGCAGAAUGUGGAUAUACACGUCCAAGUCUCCUGGGAAGGGAGGGUGUGGGGACAGGCCAGGGUAGGGAUGGGGCAAGCACCUGGGUGACCACAGCUGGCGGGGUGUGUGGCUUGUGGUCAAAGUUACACACCAGCCUACUGAACAGAGGAAUGGAAACCCUGCACCCUCCACCAGCAGCCUUCGUUUUAGAGUGUCGUCUUCUAGCAUGCAGUGCUGGGUUUUGUACCCUGUUUUCCUUCCCCACUGCACACGUUCCUUGGAUUUUUGAUGGGGUCAUGUCCCCAUAAACCCAGGGCGAGGUGGAAGUACCAUGAGUUGAUUUUGCCUUUGCUCCCCCUAACCUGCAGAGCAGCCCAGCCCAGCCACGCAGCGCCCUGCAGAGUGUCGAUGGCUUCCCCUGGGGAUUGUGCGGCUGCCCAGCAUUCAGAGGCAGGAUUCAGCUGCAUCUCGUCAGCCCACAAAAAGAUCCAAGUUUCAAAGUGCAAUCCCUUUUACGCCAUCAGAAUUGUGAAACAUGGCGAGUCGAACCUCGGUAGGCGGGGGUCCAUCCGUGUAUCUCAGAGCUUUCCCCCAGCCCCCCAACCUAGACCUGUUGGGGUAGGAGAAUAUUCUGUGUGGAGAAAGUGACCUCAUUUAGGCAAAUCUUUCUCAGUUUGGCAGGAUUUAGGAUCUUUUCAAUCAAUAUGCAGUGAUGGAAAAUUCUAGAAUGAACAAAACAACCUGGGGUGCAUCACUUCAUUUCAGUAGGACCUUUCAUUUUGGAAAGUUGUCAGUCCCAUCUGGGUGGCAUUAAGCCCUGCUCCCAAAGGACGUUCUCCACGGACCUUGACCUUGCCGUCUCUACCAUGGCCCACCAGCACUAAGCGUCUUUAGAUGUUCCAUAAUUAGGUGGUGGUGACGGCGGCUCCCCUCUGUAAAUACACUAAAAAUUGUUGAAUUAUAUAUUUAAAAC
This 2295-nucleotide long non-coding RNA is filed under the name Marmota monax (woodchuck). The record is from RNAcentral. Lineage: Eukaryota; Metazoa; Chordata; Mammalia; Rodentia; Sciuridae.